This is a non-coding RNA of Epinephelus fuscoguttatus (brown-marbled grouper), 82 nucleotides long. Lineage: Eukaryota; Metazoa; Chordata; Actinopteri; Perciformes; Serranidae. The record is from the annotation of a RefSeq genome assembly.
GGUAGUGUGGCUGAGUGUUCUAAGGCGCUGGAUUAAGACUCCAGUCUCCUAGGAGGUGUGGGUUCAAAUCCCACCAUUGCCA